CCUACGGGAGGCAGCAGUGGGGAAUUUUGGACAAUGGACGCAAGUCUGAUCCAGCCAUGCCGCGUGCGGGAAGAAGGCCUUCGGGUUGUAAACCGCUUUUGUCAGGGAAGAAAAGGUUCUGGUUAAUACCCGGGACUCAUGACGGUACCUGAAGAAUAAGCACCGGCUAACUACGUGCCAGCAGCCGCGGUAAUACGUAGGGUGCAAGCGUUAAUCGGAAUUACUGGGCGUAAAGCGUGCGCAGGCGGUUAUGCAAGACAGAGGUGAAAUCCCCGGGCUCAACCUGGGAACUGCCUUUGUGACUGCAUAGCUAGAGUACGGUAGAGGGGGAUGGAAUUCCGCGUGUAGCAGUGAAAUGCGUAGAUAUGCGGAGGAACACCGAUGGCGAAGGCAAUCCCCUGGACCUGUACUGACGCUCAUGCACGAAAGCGUGGGGAGCAAACAGGAUUAGAUACCCUGGUAGUCCACGCCCUAAACGAUGUCAACUGGUUGUUGGGAGGGUUUCUUCUCAGUAACGUAGCUAACGCGUGAAGUUGACCGCCUGGGGAGUACGGCCGCAAGGUUGAACUUAAAUGAAUUGACGG
RNAcentral lists this ribosomal RNA (584 nucleotides) under uncultured bacterium. RNAcentral describes it as "bacterial SSU rRNA". It matches the Rfam family "Bacterial small subunit ribosomal RNA", at positions 338 to 916 of the family's 1533-position model. The record is from RNAcentral.